UAGUAUUAUGAAAAUGUAGUUUAGAAGUGUAUUAAAUUUGUCAAAUAUAUGGUUAUAUAUAUAUGGUUUGCAGAUUUUAAUGGUUUCAGAUUUUAAUCAAAUAAAGCAACAAUAAUAUGCAAACUGAAAAGAAUCAGUUGGUUUGCGACUACCAAAACUUUAGCAGCUGUUCAGUCUGCUACUCCACGAUAGAUAACGCGACAAGAUGUCGUUCCACAAAUCUGGUUACAAUUUCAAAAAGAAUGCAUAAAAAUUGCGAAUAAUAAAAUAUUAAAAAAAAAUUAAUAAGAAAAUACCGCAAUACAACGGAAAAAGCUGAAGCUGUUAGUGAAUUUUUCAAAAAUUUUUCAGUAACAACCAAUUUCAUAUUCAACCAAAGGACUAAAUCACUAUGGAAGCUAUUUAUAUAAAUAUAUUAUAUCUACAUAUAUAUAUAUAUAUAUAUAUAUAUAUAUAAAUAUAUAAUAAUAUCUUAAAACCGUCAAUGAAAAAGCAUUUGUUUUAUUACAACUUUCCAAUUUUUCAAGACGAUUCCGCUCCUUGCGACCGUGCAAAAUUGGUUUAUUAUGUAUAAACAUUAAAAUCGAACUUGAUUUAAAUUCGAUUAAGAAUUUAUGGCACCAAAUUGGGAAAAAAUCAAUCAAAUUAAGUUAUUAAACUGUAUAGAGCUUAAUAAAACUAUAGAAAAAGUUUGAUAUGACGAAAUCUCUGGAAAAUUUACAAAGUCUAGUGAACUCCAUGCCAUCUCGGAUUUAUGCGAUAAUUAAAGCUAGAGGUGGCUCUACCAAAUAUUAAUAAUUUUUAUUAUUUUUUUUUUAUUUUUUUGUUCUCUAAACACAAUAUUAAGAUGUUAAAGCAUUUACCAUAAACAACAAUUAGAAAAAAAUAUGAAGAAAAAUGUUUUCCUGGUAGAAGAAUACUGUAUUUUUAAAUAAUUCUCAAAUCGAAGAUCAAAAAUUUUAUAAAAUUAUGGAAAAUGCAUACAAAUAGACAUAUAUUUCAUGAAAGUAGUUUUAAAUUUUUUGGAACAUUUAACGAAAACAUUAUAUUUAAUGGGUGAUAUGGUUUCUAUGACCGCUUCACCCAUGUCUAUGCAUAAAAAAUGACGUUAGAUCUAUCUAUAUUUAUUAAGUAGUCCACUGCUUAAGCUAAAUUCAGAAAAAGAAAUAUUGUACAAAAUUCUCAA
Teleopsis dalmanni is the source of this 1186-nucleotide long non-coding RNA. RefSeq lists it as uncharacterized. The transcript has 4 exons. The record is from RefSeq and is a predicted model, not a curated record. Lineage: Eukaryota; Metazoa; Arthropoda; Insecta; Diptera; Diopsidae.